This 301-nucleotide ribosomal RNA is filed under the name uncultured bacterium. RNAcentral's name for it is "partial 16S ribosomal RNA". It matches the Rfam family "Bacterial small subunit ribosomal RNA", at positions 509 to 807 of the family's 1533-position model. The record is from RNAcentral.
CAGUCGCCGCGGUAAGAUAGAGGAUGCAAGCGUUAUCCGGAAUGAUUGGGCGUAAAGCGUCUGUAGGUGGCUUUUCAAGUCCGCCGUCAAACCCCAGGGCUCAACCCUGGACAGGCGGUGGAAACUACCAAGCUAGAGUACGGUAGGGGCAGAGGGAAUUUCCGGUGGAGCGGUGAAAUGCGUUGAGAUCGAAAAGAACACCAACGACGAAAGCACUCUGCUGGGUCGACACUGACACUGAGAGACGAAAGCUAGGGGAGCAAAUGGGAUUAGAUACCCCAGUAGUCCCUGUCUCUUAUAC